This 253-nucleotide ribosomal RNA is filed under the name uncultured bacterium. Its description in RNAcentral is "partial 16S ribosomal RNA". It matches the Rfam family "Bacterial small subunit ribosomal RNA", at positions 524 to 776 of the family's 1533-position model. The record is from RNAcentral.
UACGUAGGGUGCGAGCGUUGUCCGGAAUUAUUGGGCGUAAAGGGCUCGUAGGCGGUCUGUCGCGUCGGGAGUGAAAACUCAGGGCUUAACCCUGAGCCUGCUUCCGAUACGGGCAGACUAGAGGUAUGCAGGGGAGAACGGAAUUCCUGGUGUAGCGGUGGAAUGCGCAGAUAUCAGGAGGAACACCGGUGGCGAAGGCGGCGACCUGGGUCGAGACUGACGCUGAGGCGCGAAAGCGUGGGGAGCAAACAGG